This 290-nucleotide long non-coding RNA is filed under the name Olea europaea subsp. europaea. Lineage: Eukaryota; Viridiplantae; Streptophyta; Magnoliopsida; Lamiales; Oleaceae. The record is from RNAcentral.
UUGAUAUCUAGGUAUCCCAACUUAUACCAGACUAAAUCAUGGACUUCCAAGACCCAUGCCCCUAGAACCUUGGAGGGGGUAAAUCGCGGGUUAUGCCUCAACUGGAUCACAGGUUCCCCCCAUUGACUGUACACUUCUGCGCACAAGAGACCCUCCUCCACAGUGAUUGCUCCAUACCAAAUUUUUGGCCGCAGGUUCCCACCAGGAAUCGAACUCUCCACCCUACCACUGGAAGCAAGCCAAUGUUGAUUGAUCCACCAGUUGAGCUGUGCCCCGAGGGCAAGUAUUAU